Equus caballus (horse) is the source of this 1870-nucleotide long non-coding RNA. The record is from Ensembl. NCBI's taxonomy places the organism in Eukaryota, Metazoa, Chordata, Mammalia, Perissodactyla, Equidae.
GUUGAGAAUGCAGUGCUCUGGCGUGUUUCAAAUGGUUCUUUUUCCUCCUCCCUCUGCCAGAAGCACAGGAGAUUUUUCUCUGAUAUUUACUUUGAGAACCUGGUUGAGCUUCUGGAUAUGACUCUCACAAAAUUGUGGGGGCUUCCCUAUGACUGGGGUCCCCCUAGAGUUUUUAACUCUCCAAGUUGUUUACGCUGAACUUCCAGCAAUUAAUGAAUUACAAUUCGGGAUUUCCUUCUCUGGCACUGAUUCCUGUUGCAGUUUCCACUUAUGAAUCUCUGAUCUGGCUGUGUUGAGAAACAGAAUGUGGAAGCACAGCAAGAUUUUCAGUCACUAAAAAUGGCUCGUGAUGUCCAACGCAAGUUAUCCAAUAAAGAACAGAAGUGGAGAGAACAUCCACAUGACACAAAAGACGUCUAAGAGACCCACGUAGCCAUAUGUUGGAAGGUGGAGGUGCUGGAGCCCUCCCAAGGAAGUGGAAUGAGCAUGGUGUGCCAAGCAGUGCCAUGUCCGCACCCGGAUCCGAACCGGCGAUGCCCAGGCUCCCGAAGCGGAACGUGUGAGCUUAACCACUGUGCCACCGACCGGCCCCCUGAUUUUUUUAAAUUGGGGAGUUGCAUUAUUGGGGGGAAGAAUGACAUAUGUAGAUCAAAGAAUCAUAGUAUCCUGAAUGGUGGGAGUGUGUUGACCCAUCAGGAUUAAAUCCUUGCUUACAAAGAGAGAUGAUAACGAAGAAGGAAAAAUAGCCCAUUUUCUUAGACUUUGAGUGGUGAAUUUUUGCAAGGGUAUACAUGAUAGGAGCCCAUUGUUAAGCUAAUUGAUGAAAAGACUCAUUAAAUAUCAAUAAACCUUUGAAUCUAUCUCAUUUUAUAACUCAGCAACAAAAUAAGUGUAUAUUAUCAUUUCUUUUAACACAAUUGUCUCAAAGAAGUAUAUGUAUCAUUAUUUUUAAAGCUUAUCGCAUUAAAUUAUCUUUAUAGCACAGUAAUGGAGUUUAGCUUAAAAUAUUUUCUAAAAUAAUUGAUGUGCCUUAUAAACAAUUAAAAUAGUUAAGGAUACAUAAACUAAAUGGAAACUAUCUAGGUACUAAAUGUUUUACCACCUUUAAUCAAAUUAAAGAAUGAUCAGAUACUCGGUCAGAGACCUAAUGACACACACAUUCAUUGUGCUUUAUUCAUACAGCUAUUUCCCUCAGUAAUUUAAUUUUUUCUCUACUGCUUUCCUGGACCCUGCAAAUGUUUAAUGGGACCUCCACGUUGAUUUAUGAGCUAGGAAUUAUCUCUAGUUGCAAGUCUUGAAACCACUGACUGAUUACAGAGACAAAGAAUUUUGCACUGAUAAAGAGCAACCAUUUUCAAGUCUUUGUUUCUCCCUAUUGCUGUAAAAGACAAGAUUGAUAGUCGUAUGAAUGCCUUUUAAAAGUUAUUUUACAUUUAUGUAUUUAAAAUUUAUAUAUAUUUCAAAAUUAUUUUUAACAUAUUUUGGAAAUAUUUAUGGAAAUAGUUAUAUGUGCAUUUCACUAGGCAUCUAUCAAAUUCUAAUAAAGCCCUGAAUUAAUAUGCUUUAUGAUAUCCAGGUUUGUUGUAACAAUAUUCUCUUUUGGCCUUUGACCUUUACCAUCCAAUACUCAAAUGGGGACAGGCUGGACUGGGUGGUGACUGGGGAAGGGGAUUAGGAGAUAAUAGUCUUCUGAUAAUUUGUUAAUAUUUGCUCAGUUGUGAAAAUGUGUCACUAUCUUUACUUUUUGCUUCUUGUGAGGGUAAAUACUGAAUGAAAAAUAUAGUUUUCAUUAAUAAUAUGACGGUGUUUCAUGCAACUCAAUACAUUAUCACAUUAUGAUUGUUUUAGUGCUUUUGAUAUGACUAUUCUC